This 482-nucleotide ribosomal RNA is filed under the name uncultured bacterium. Its description in RNAcentral is "partial 16S ribosomal RNA". It matches the Rfam family "Bacterial small subunit ribosomal RNA", at positions 29 to 507 of the family's 1533-position model. The record is from RNAcentral.
AUUGAACGCUGGCGGCAUGCCUUACACAUGCAAGUCGAACGGUAACGCGGGGCAACCUGGCGACGAGUGGCGAACGGGUGCGUAAUGCAUCGGAACGUGCCCAGAAGUGGGGGAUAGCCCGGCGAAAGCCGGAUUAAUACCGCAUGAGACCUGAGGGUGAAAGCGGGGGAUCGCAAGACCUCGCGCUUUUGGAGCGGCCGAUGUCAGAUUAGCUAGUUGGUGGGGUAAAGGCCUACCAAGGCGACGAUCUGUAGCUGGUCUGAGAGGACGACCAGCCACACUGGGACUGAGACACGGCCCAGACUCCUACGGGAGGCAGCAGUGGGGAAUUUUGGACAAAGGGCGCAAGCCUGAUCCAGCCAUGCCGCGUGCGGGAAGAAGGCCUUCGGGUUGUAAACCGCUUUUGUCAGGGAAGAAACGCUCUGGGCUAAUACCCUGGGGUAAUGACGGUACCUGAAGAAUAAGCACCGGCUAACUACGUG